CGCCCGUCAAACCAUGGGAGCUGGUAAUGCCCGAAGUCGGUUUAUAAAGAAACUGCCUAAGGCAGGACUGGUGACUGGGGUUAAGUCGUAACAAGGUAUCCCUACGAGAACGUGGGGAUGGAUUACCUCCUUUCUACGGAGUACAUAAAGUCAAAAUAAUUGACUUAUUAACCUUUUUUACUAGACCUUUUAAACAAUUUUGUCAUGUGACUUUUAUUAUGGUCGGAGUCUUAUAUCUAGUUUUGAGAGAACAUCUCUCAAUUGUUCUUUGAAAACUGAAUAGUAAAAUAUUUUUCGAUAUUUACAACGACAUCAAAUAAAUUAAUUUGGUUAAUUUGUUUUGAUUCAUCGAGUAAUCAUAAAGAAAUAUUAUGAUUCAUUGAAAUGUCUUAAAAUACACAUCUAAACAUAACAAUAGGAAAAUACUACUUUUAAAUAAGGAAGAGUUUGUGGUGGAUGCCUUGGGUCUGGAAGUCGAUGAGGGACGUGAUUACCUGCGAUAAGCCUCGUGGAGCUGGAAAUGCGCAUUGAAACGGGGAUUUCCGAAUGGGGAAACCUAGCUAGGGUAAUGCCUAGUUGCAUAUGUCUGAAUUCAUAGGACAUAUUAGCGAGACACCUUGUGAACUGAAACAUCUUAGUAGCAAGAGGAAGAGGAAAUAAAUAAUGAUUUCUUCAGUAGCGGCGAGCGAACGAGAAAGAGCCCAAACCAUUUAAAAUGGGGUUGUAGGACAGUCUACAUAGAGUGACAAAAUUUAAUGAUAGCAGAAGCUUUUGGGAAGAAGCGGCAUAGAGGGUGAUACCCCCGUAAGUGAAAUUAUUAAAUCUCUUGACUGUAUCCUGAGUAGGGCGGGGCACGUGAAACCCUGUCUGAAUCUGCCGGGACCACCCGGUAAGGCUAAAUACUAACCAGACACCGAUAGUGAACUA
Molecule: small RNA, 927 nt
Filed under: Mycoplasmopsis adleri
Lineage: Bacteria; Bacillati; Mycoplasmatota; Mycoplasmoidales; Metamycoplasmataceae
Description: bacterial LSU rRNA
Rfam family: Bacterial large subunit ribosomal RNA (bases 430-927)
Source: RNAcentral